Molecule: ribosomal RNA, 442 nt
Filed under: uncultured bacterium
Lineage: Bacteria
Description: partial 16S ribosomal RNA
Rfam family: Bacterial small subunit ribosomal RNA
Source: RNAcentral
CCUACGGGAGGCUGCAGUGGGGAAUAUUGGGCAAUGGGCGCAAGCCUGACCCAGCAAAGCCGCGUGAAGGAAGAAGGCUUUCGGGUUGUAAACUUCUUUUUACCGGGGAGCGCAGAAGACGGUACCUGGCGAAUAAGCCACGGCUAACUACGUGCCAGCAGCCGCGGUAAUACGGAGGUGGCAAGCGUUGUCCGGAUUUACUGGGUUUAAAGGGCGUGUAGCCGGGCUGACAAGUCAGAUGUGAAAUCCGGGGGCCCAACCCCCGAACUGCAUUUGAAACUGUUGGUCUUGAGUAUCGGAGAGGCAGGCGGAAUGCGUAGUGUAGCGGUGAAAUGCGUAGAUAUUAGGAGGAACACCAGUGGCGAAGGCGGCCUGCUGGACGACAACUGACGGUGAGGCGCGAAAGCGUGGGGAGCAAACAGGAUUAGAUACCCGGGUAGUC